This 406-nucleotide ribosomal RNA is filed under the name uncultured bacterium. RNAcentral describes it as "partial 16S ribosomal RNA". It matches the Rfam family "Bacterial small subunit ribosomal RNA", at positions 30 to 526 of the family's 1533-position model. The record is from RNAcentral.
AUUGAACGCUGGCGGCAGGCCUAACACAUGCAAGUCGAGCGAGCGGCGGACGGGUGAGUAAUGUAUGGGGAUCUGCCCGAUGGAGGGGGAUAACUACUGGAAACGGUGGCUAAUACCGCAUACCAUCGGAUGAACCCAGAUGGGAUUAGCUAGUAGGUGGGGUAACGGCUCACCUAGGCGACGAUCCCUAGCUGGUCUGAGAGGAUGACCAGCCACACUGGAACUGAGACACGGUCCAGACUCCUACGGGAGGCAGCAGUGGGGAAUAUUGCACAAUGGGCGCAAGCCUGAUGCAGCCAUGCCGCGUGUAUGAAGAAGGCCUUAGGGUUGUAAAGUACUUUCAGCGGGGAGGCGUUACUCGCAGAAGAAGCACCGGCUAACUCCGUGCCAGCAGCCGCGGUAAUUC